RNAcentral lists this antisense RNA (75 nucleotides) under Mycobacterium shigaense. Its description in RNAcentral is "ASpks TB sRNA". It matches the Rfam family "ASpks TB sRNA". Lineage: Bacteria; Bacillati; Actinomycetota; Actinomycetes; Mycobacteriales; Mycobacteriaceae. The record is from RNAcentral.
UUUGAUCGAACCCAGCCACAGCGGGCGAUCGGCCGGGCGGUCCUGGCCGUAGGUCGCCAACAACGCCUGCGCCUC